GACGAACGCUGGCGGCGUGCCUAACACAUGCAAGUCGAACGAGAUCCAUGGGAGCUUGCUCCCGGAAGAUCUAGUGGCGAACGGGUGAGUAACACGUGAGAAACCUGCCCUGGAGUGGGGAAUAACUCGGGGAAACUCGAGCUAAUACCGCAUACCCUCGGAUGGUCGCAUGGCCGACCGAGGAAAGAUUUAUCGCUCUAGGAGGGUCUCGCGGCCUAUCAGCUAGUUGGUGGGGUAACGGCCUACCAAGGCAACGACGGGUAGCUGGUUUGAGAGAACGAUCAGCCACACUGGGACUGAGACACGGCCCAGACUCCUACGGGAGGCAGCAGUGGGGAAUCUUGCGCAAUGGGCGAAAGCCUGACGCAGCAACGCCGCGUGCGGGAUGACGGCCUUCGUGGUUGUAAACCGCUUUCAGCAGGGACGAAAAUAGACGGUACCUGCAGAAGAAGACCCCGGCUAACUACGUGCCAGCAGCCGCGGUAAU
This 487-nucleotide ribosomal RNA is filed under the name uncultured bacterium. RNAcentral's name for it is "bacterial SSU rRNA". It matches the Rfam family "Bacterial small subunit ribosomal RNA", at positions 28 to 524 of the family's 1533-position model. The record is from RNAcentral.